CCUACGGGAGGCAGCAGUAAGGAAUAUUGGUCAAUGGACGCAAGUCUGAACCAGCCAUGCCGCGUGGAGGAUGAAGGUCCUCUGGAUUGUAAACUUCUUUUAUUUGGGAAGAAACCCACGAUUUCUAUUGUGGUUGACGGUACCAGAUGAAUAAGCACCGGCUAACUCCGUGCCAGCAGCCGCGGUAAUACGGAGGGUGCAAGCGUUAUCCGGAUUCACUGGGUUUAAAGGGUGCGUAGGCGGGCAGGUAAGUCAGUGGUGAAAUCUCCGAGCUUAACUUGGAAACUGCCGUUGAUACUAUCUGUCUUGAAUGCUGUGGAGGUAAGCGGAAUAUGUCAUGUAGCGGUGAAAUGCUUAGAUAUGACAUAGAACACCCAUUGCGAAGGCAGCUUGCUACACAGAAAUUGACGCUGAGGCACGAAAGCGUGGGGAUCAAACAGGAUUAGAUACCCUGGUAGUCCACGCCCUAAACGAUGGAUACUCGACAUCAGCGAUACACAGUUGGUUGUCUGAGCGAAGACAUUAAGUAUCCACCGUCGGAGGUACGACCGACCGAGGUUAGUAACGUACAAAUAGAAGUUAGUACGGACGUUGAGACGUUCGGCCGACGGACGACGACGACGGGGAGGGUAGGG
RNAcentral lists this ribosomal RNA (635 nucleotides) under uncultured bacterium. RNAcentral's name for it is "bacterial SSU rRNA". The stretch from base 1 to 535 matches the Rfam family "Bacterial small subunit ribosomal RNA", at positions 338 to 873 of the family's 1533-position model. The record is from RNAcentral.